Triticum dicoccoides is the source of this 3242-nucleotide long non-coding RNA. RefSeq lists it as uncharacterized. The transcript is spliced from 6 exons. The record is from RefSeq and is a predicted model, not a curated record. NCBI's taxonomy places the organism in Eukaryota, Viridiplantae, Streptophyta, Magnoliopsida, Poales, Poaceae.
CCUCUCCCAGGGCGAUCGACUGUGACGCCAUUUUUGUGUGCAUCUCGUAGGGAGAUUUCUGCAGCCGGCGCAGGACCGGGCAUGGAAGAAGCAGGCAUGGAGUUCCUUCUGGACGCCGUGGACAGGUUCCCCUUGCUUGAGGAAUUCGCUGACAGCGUUGAGCAGCCAGAUCCAGUUCCUCUGGCGCGGAUGCAAGCGAACGAGCCCAGUUACGCGGGUAGCGCUGUCUCAAAAGAUGAUUCUGGAUGCGGGCAACAGAUUGGCAAAGUUGAGGUGAACGAAAGGCAACCUGCUGCUCGCCGCCGUACGAACACAUCUCCAACUCGGUCUACCCAUCAACUGACAGGGUGAACCCAGAAGCCCCCGGGUGGACUAAAAGGUACGAUUGCAGAGGCCCUCCUUUGUUAUUGCAAGAUUGCAUUGCUGUGCUGAGUUCAGGGGAAUGGUUUGCCAAUAUCUACUUGUGAGAUUUAACUUCAGAAACAUGUACGUUCGUUUCAGCAGAAGCUAAACCUGCGAAUUUGAGAAAAAUGUUUUGGCAAAAACAACUUGUGAGUUGAAACUGAAGAAAAAUAGAUAGUUCAAGGGUAGUGGGAGUUCAAAUUUGCGUUCGUGGUAAAGGAUGUGCUACUUAACUGUAAUCUAUUGAAUUUUGACUGGUGGAAUAAGGUUACAGCUAGGGAGCGCGCCACCGGACAGGACACCAUGUCCCAGCCGUAUGAGCGCUUUGGAGGAGUCGAUGCGCAAGUAUGCUGAAGAACCCAGCAAAAAUGUGGUGCGGCGGACACUUGGUCUGACUUUUGAUUCGCUUGGUGAGGCAUACGACUUCUACAAUUUGUAUUCCUGGGAAACCGGUUUCGGCAUUAGAUAUGGAAAGAGCCGGCUGAACGUUGAGAGGACAAAGUGCAUGCAAGAAAUAGUGUGCGGUUGCUCGGGGAAGCCAGAAGCAGAAAAUAGUAGAUCAUGCAGGUGUGAGUGUCCAGCUUUGAUAAGAUUGUUGCGAGCAGCGGACAACAGCUGGUACAUUACAGAACACAGAGAGAACCAUAAUCAUUCAAUGUCAUUGACAAUGGGUGAGAAAGUUCAAUGGCCGUCGCACAAGAACAUUGAUGUGUACACUAAGGAUCUCAUAAAACAGCUACGGGAGAACAAUGUUAACCUUGGCAAGGUAUACAGCAUAAUAGGAAGUUUCUUCCGGUCGGUUGAGAAGGUUCCAUUCACUAAGAGGACCCUGAGGAACAUAUGCGGGAAGAUCAGUCGGGAGCAGGCUGAUGAUGAUGUUAGGAAGACACUUGAAGUGUUCGCUGACAUACAGGCUGGUGACCCUGGUUUCACAUACAGAGUGCUGGCUGAUGAUACAAGCAAAGUGAAGAACCUGAUGUAGGCAAAUGGGAGCAGCCGUAUGCAGUACCGUUUCUUUGGAGAUGUUGUCACUUUUGACACAACAUAUAGGACUAACUUGUACGACAUGCCUUUUGGAUUAUUUGUUGGGGUAAACAAUCAUUUUCAGAGCAUCAUCCUACCUGGGGUGCUGAUGCGCGACGAGCAGCAAGAGAGCUUCGAAUGGGUUUUCGCCGAGUUCCUUCGAAUGAUGGGAGGACCUGCCCCAAAGACUAUCUUGACAGAUCAGUGUAGAGCUAUGAAACUAGCUAUCAAGAAGGUGUAUCCAGAUACGGUGCAUAGGUGGUGCAAGUGGCACGUGCUGAAGAAAGCAAAGGAGAGUCUGGGACCUUUGUACACCAAAAAAAAUGACUUCUAGGCUGAUUUUCACAAAGUCGUGAACCACAUGUUAACCGAAGAUGAGUUCGAGACGGCAUGGGGUAUGUUGCUGGAUAAGUACAAUUUGCGGAAGCACGCAUAUAUGACACAGAUUUAUGAGAUUCGAACAAAGUGGGCCAAACCAUACUUUAGAGGUGUUUUCUGUGCCAAGAUGACCAGCACACAACGGAGCGAGAGUGCCAAUCACAUGUUGAAGACAUACAUGCCCCCAGCUAGCCCCAUGCAUGUGUUUGUGAGGCAGUAUAUGCGACUGCAAUUUGACAGGGAGCGUGAAGAGAGCUACGAGGAGAAAAGAACUAUGAUUGGAGGUGCAGUGAGAAGAACAAAUUUGGCUAUAUAGAGGCACGCCAGUAAAAUAUACACCCGAUCUAUGUUUGAGGAGUUUGGGAGGUUGCUGAUGGAAGCCACAGCAUAUAACAUAACGGAGAUAGAGAAAAUGAAGAAGUAUGUGGCAACCCACAAUAAUGCGGCAAAGAGAGAGAGAGAGAGAUGGAGCAGAGUUGUUUACGAGGUUACUAUCGCGGAUGAUCAAAAGGAGUUUACUUAUGAGUGUGGUCAAUUCAAACACACUGGUUUGCUGUGCAGCCACAUUCUAAGGGUAAUGGAAAUACUACACCUAGAACAUAUUCCAUCUAAACAUAUUGUGAAAAGGUGGACGAAGGACGCAAGAGACAUUCUACCAAGCCAUCUGCAGCGGUACCAAAAGGACAAGCGGACCAACACAUCGUUCACAUGGAGGCAUUCGACACUGUACUUCAAAGCUAUGGACGUCGUUCGAAUGGGGGAUGCGAGUGCAGAAUCGUCUGAUUUCAUGCUAGCUGGGAUGGAAGAUCUACUAGUACGUGGAGCACCUAUUGCAGAGAGGAGAGAUGGCCUCGGGUUUGAGGAUCGGGUGACGACCUUAGACCCUGUGAGGCAAAAUGAUAAUGGAGAAGUUGCUUUGGUGCUCGGUACAGGUGCCGAUAAAGAGAAUAGCAUGGCACAUUCUGUCAGCGUCAAUGACUUGGAAGGGCUCACAGCACCCGCUAAACAGAGGGGGGUUGGUAGGCCAACCAAUAGCAGGGAGAAGGCAUCGUACGAAGGACUCAGUCAAUGUACACAUUUCUGCAGCAUUUGCAGGAGGGAAGGACAAAAAAGAACUACAUGUCCUAACAGAAGGGACGCACCAAAAAAGCCGAGGAAACCUGGUCGAUGCAAGAACUGCGGAAUCGAAGGUCACCGUCGGAACACAUGCACGAGGCCAUUGGGGUUCGCUGCAAACUAAUUUUCAACAUUCAUGUCUUAUGGUUUGCCGAUCGGAAUUUACUAGUUUGUUGUACUACGAACUGCUCUUUGCAUGCUUAUCUCCACUUAGAUGGUAUUCAUAGUUGCAUGAUGAAAAAAGAUUAUAUUGUGUCAGCUGUUCGUCCAUGCUCUAUGACAAUGUAGCAAGAUAAAAUGUGCUGGACUUGAGUGAGGACUUA